This 1447-nucleotide long non-coding RNA is filed under the name Serinus canaria (Common canary). Its description in RNAcentral is "lncRNA (ENSSCAG00000008885.1)". The record is from RNAcentral. Lineage: Eukaryota; Metazoa; Chordata; Aves; Passeriformes; Fringillidae.
GGGAUGGCCACGCCCACAUUGGGCUGUGCCACUAAACCACACCCACAUUGCGUCACAGCAAAGCCACGCCCACAAUGGCACACCCUAUUAAGCCACACCCCCAUUGCGGUCACAGCCAGGCCACGCCCCCAAUCAAGCAACGCACAAAUUAGUUGUGCUCUAAUUAAGCCACACCCACUCAUGCCACACCCCCGUUUGGUCACACCCAAACCACGCCCACAAUCAAGUCACACCCCACAUUAACUGUGCUGUAGCUAAGCCACACCCACCUGCCACACCCUCUUAAGCCACACCCACAUUGUGUCACACCCAUUUAAGCCACACCCCAAAUUAUGUGUUCCAUUAAAGCCACACCCACCGUGCCACACCCUCUUAAGCCACACCCUAUAUCUGGGUCACACCUAUUUAAGCCACGCCUCAGAUAAACCACACCCUCUUAAGCCACACCCAACUAAGCCACACCCACACAAACCACGCCCAUUCCCAGUUCCCACCUCCUGUCCCUGAGACCACACCCCUUUUCCUAAACCCCACCCCCUCCAUUCCUUGAGGCCCCGCCCACCUUGGUGCUGCCGGGGGCGGAGCCAUCGCGGCCCAAUGAGGACACGGAGCUGCUGUCCCCGCCCGGGCCCCGCCCAGGGGAGGAGCCUCCGUCCAGCCCCAGCUCCUCCAGCCCUGCCGGCCCCGAGCCUGCAGCUCCUGCAGCUGCUGCAGCUCCUGCUGCGCCUGCGCCUCCUGCCGCGCCCUGCCACAGCCCAAAGACACCCCAAAACCAUCAGGGACACCCCAAAACCAUCAGGGACACCCCAAAGACAUCAGGGACACCCCAAAGACAUCUGGGACACCCCAAAACCAUCAGGGACACCCCAAAAACAGCCCAAAGACACCCCAAAACCAUCAGGGACACCCCAAAGAUCAUCUGGGACACCCCAAACACCCCAAAACCAUCAGGGACACCCUAAACACCCCAAAGACACCCCAAAAGCAUCAGGGACACCCCAAACACCCCAAAACCAGCCCAAAAACAUCCUGGGGCACCCCAAAGACACCCCAAAAGCAUCAGGGACACCCCAAACAGCCCAAAACCAUCAGGGACACACCAAAAUCAUCUGGGGCACCCCAAAAAUCAUCUGGGACACCCCAAGCACUCCAAAACCAUCAGGGAUGCCCCAAAAUCCACCUGGGACACCCCAAAACCACCCUAAAACAGCCCAAAACCAUCAGGGACACCCCAAAGACGUCAGGGACACCCCAAAAACCUCCCAAACCACCCCAAAAUCAUCAGGCACGGCCCCAAAACCACCCUAAAGACAUCCUGGAACCCAAAAUCCCCCAGAGAGCCCAAAAUUUCCCCCAAAUCCCCCAAAAUUUCCCCCAAAUCCCCCAAAAUUCCCCAAAUCCCCCAAAAUUCCCCAAAUCCCGGAUUUUUUUGACCCCUCCCCUUUUU